GAAAAUUGUAUGCACUUGUGUGACGACUAAGAAACCACUGAAAAGCAGAACCUCAAAAGAGCCCCGCUUAGAACAGGGGGCUCCGGAACAAACAAGAUUUUACUUGCUCAUGCUCGAAGCACUAGAUACACUAACAACACUUCAGAUAGACUCUGAAGAGCAACUGAAAGAACUCAGAGACAAGGGUCAACGCUGUUUACAGACCAAAGCUUAUACUCAGUUGCUGUUAGUUUGGUGACGUCAUCCAGUAUCAAUUUGCUGGUCAUGAGCCCAACUCAAUUGCACUGCGUUCAAAAAAGUCCUGCUCUCAUGAACGAUAUUCAAAUUCUCCCGGUGGAAUGACUGUUUUUUUAAAGCACCUUAUUCAUUCAAAUAAUGUAUUCCCCGGCCAACCAACCACACUUAUUCAUACCUCGCUUCAGAAUUAGGAUUGAGGAUCUUUUUUAUUCCUGGGAGCAUUUCCAACUUGAAUAUCUUUUCCCAAAAACUUACUAAGAGACACUCAAGCGCAGGCACAUACUGUGUGCAAUAAAGAACACUUUGAAACUACUGGGAAUCCAAACACUAGUGCUGAAUUACUACAGAAAACCAUCAUUCUUUUUCAGAGUUCAUACUAUGAUUUAUCCGCAAAUCUAUUUCCAAUGCCGAUGAGAGAUCCUGGCGCCAGAGGUUAAAACUGAUAACGCGAUGAAUUUGAACUGUGGCGUGAAAAAACUGACUGAGUUAAGAUACCACUACUCUAUCAUUAAUAUAUUAUUUUUUAUUGCUGAGAGAAAGGACAAAAACUGCUGAUGCCUUCACCUGCCAAGAGGAACCGUUUGGUCGUGAACAUAUGGCACCCCAGCGAUUGACUUCUUGAUUCAAUUACAACUUCAAUUAAAUAAAUUAGUUCUGAUUA
Molecule: non-coding RNA, 898 nt
Organism: Bemisia tabaci
Lineage: Eukaryota; Metazoa; Arthropoda; Insecta; Hemiptera; Aleyrodidae
Source: RefSeq, a predicted model, not a curated record